AAAUAUUCAACACCCGAUUUUUGUUUGGUUUCUUUUUUACUCCACCCUUUUAGGGAGGCGGACGGAAUUGGUGUAAAAACGAAAACACACAGAAUCCAUAAAGCCUCCUUCUUAGGAGGCUUUUUUGUU
Agarivorans albus MKT 106 is the source of this 129-nucleotide regulatory RNA element. It matches the Rfam family "Phenylalanine leader peptide". The record is from Rfam. NCBI's taxonomy places the organism in Bacteria, Pseudomonadati, Pseudomonadota, Gammaproteobacteria, Alteromonadales, Alteromonadaceae.